AUGGCUAGUAGCUCCAAUGGCCAUUGUCCAGCUAAUGGUGCAAAAGUUCUUCCUGGAAGGGGGAAGAAGAAUCAGGAGAAAUUACAGCUUGACAAAGAUGCAGCUUCUAGGGCCUGUCAGAAGGACAGGCAAUACAUUGAGAAAUUGGAAACUGAGCUGAGCAACUGCUAUCAGGAAAUUGACUAUUUGCAGGAUCAGUUAAAUAUCAGGAAUGUUGAAGCAAACAUCAUGGGAGAGCAUAUUCACGGCCUUGAACUGAAGCUAACUGAACUUGAGAAAUUUCCUGAGAGAGUGAGAGUUAUGGACAAUGAUCUGAUGCGGUCUGAUUCUCAGUGCUGGCUUCUGAUGGAAGAAGUCCAAUGUAAAGAAGAGGAGCUGCAAAAGGCAACCUUACAAAUAGAGAAGCUUGAAAGCGUAACUUUAGAUAUGCAAUGUGAAAUUGAGAGUUUAAAACUUGAUUUGACUACGCUUGAGCAAAGACUGUUUGAUGCUGAGAGCUUUAGCCAGCAUACUGCUGAGUACAAAGUUAGAAUAGAGAAGCAACUGGAAGAACAUGAGCUCCAGCUGCAAGAGGCAUGGAAGACUAUUGGUCAUCUUGAGGUUGAGAAUAAACAACUGAAAAAAGAGUACUUGCCUGGAAGAGCUCCUAAACAAUCCUCUUCUACAGGCGUGGAGCAACUUGAUAAAACAGUGGAGCAUGAUGGUCAUGCAGACUAUGAAAGAGGUCAUGAAAUUCUUGAAAAGACGGGGAAGCAAAAUGAAGAACCUGAACUUAUAAUUGAGCAGCUCAAGGUCAGAGUUUGUGUACUAUCGUACUUCAGCAUUUUGGUAGAACUUCGAGAACAAAAACUGAAAGCAAAGGAGGAUGCAGAAGAUCUCACUCAAGAAAUGGCUGAAUUGAGGUACCAGAUAACUGGCAUGCUUGAGGAAGAAUACAAGCGUCGAUCUUGCAUUGAGCAAGCGGCUAUUCAACAAAUUCAGCAGCUGGAGGCUCAGGUCUCUAAAGAGCAAAGAAAAUUGGGCGGAGCACUAAGACGACUGCAGGAAUCGCAUGAGCUAGCUGACACACAAGCUACGGAGAUUAAGAAACUGAAGGAUGCUUUAGGGAGAUUGAACUCUGCAAUGAACCUCGGGAGGGUUUGCAAAUCUUGCUCUUGCGGGUUCUGUCCAAUGCUGGUAGAGAUGUCUAAUUGCUCGAUUGAAGGGUCGCUUGACCUCAGAUCUUCCGAUGCCAGCAACAAUGUCGAAGCACCGGAGAACCAAGCGCUAGUAGAGUGGCAUCCUGAUGAAGCUUCAGAUGGUGCCACAGUAAAUAAUGUAGGAUGCUAG
This 1329-nucleotide ribosomal RNA is filed under the name Triticum aestivum (bread wheat). RNAcentral describes it as "partial small subunit ribosomal RNA". The record is from RNAcentral. Lineage: Eukaryota; Viridiplantae; Streptophyta; Magnoliopsida; Poales; Poaceae.